AUGGCGCCACCAGUGAGGGAUCGCACCAUGUACAGGCACCACCUCUGCUUGUGCUUCAUUCUUCUUGCGUCCACGGCCACCCUCUCCGCCGCCGUCACGGCUUCCUCUUACUCCACUGCCUGCCCCUCCCUGGCACCGGCUCAGGACCGCCACACCGACGGCGACGACGCCGUUGCACUCAUCCGCUCCUUCCAAAUCUCCGGCGGCCAGUUCUCCGGGGGCGCCGACGGCCUGUUUUCCCCCGUCGACGACCCCUACAAAGGCCGCCCGUUCCACUUCCUUCCACACGGCGCGUCCCGCACGGACGACCCGGCUCUCGUUCACCUCACCGGUACCUUGACCAUCUUUGGUCCCCGCAGCUGGCGCCGUGGAAGCCACCAGUAUUACAGCGAGGCCGCGUCCAUCGCCUUCGUCCUCGACGGUUACCACUCCUCGGCCUCGCGCGAGCUCUGCAUGGUCGGGACCGGCACCGAGCACGCCGUCGACGGUUCUGUCAAGCAGUACCAUGACGCCGUCCUCCGCCUCCAUGUCCCCAGCCCUCCCAGCCUCGCCGAUCCUUUCGUGUCCGGCAGCAUGGAGGGCUCCUCCGACCUCGGGACCAUCAGCCUCCUCGCGUACGCCGGGGGCGACCACUACAAGUACGACGACUCCGGGCGUGCGGCCUGCAGCCCCGGGCCAUCGAUGCUGCCGGCCAGUGGCUCGCUCCGGGCGCUCGGCGGUGUCAACUCCGUGUGCGCCCACCUGAAAGAACAGCUCAUGAUCUCCUACAGGUUGGAGCAUGGCCGCACCGUGCUUCCGCGGAUGCGCGUCAACCAGAUGCAGUGCAGCGCGGACGGCGCCGCCUUGCACGCAUACGCGGUGCUCUUCAAUGACACCAGGCCGACCGAGAGGGGCUACCGUCGACGCCGCUUCUUGGUCGGCGACGAGGCCUUGGUGGCCGACGGGCACUGGGACGAGUCUCGGCGCAUGCUCUGCCUCAGAGCGUGCCGGGUUUCGCUACCGGCGCCGGCGUCUGGUCCGGUGGUCGACUGCGGGAUCGGGAUGAGCUUCUGGCUCCCAGCAGUGUGGACGAUGUGGGAAAAGAGAGCGGUGGCCGGGAUGCUCUGGAACUAG
This 1113-nucleotide ribosomal RNA is filed under the name Triticum aestivum (bread wheat). RNAcentral's name for it is "partial small subunit ribosomal RNA". The record is from RNAcentral. Lineage: Eukaryota; Viridiplantae; Streptophyta; Magnoliopsida; Poales; Poaceae.